Molecule: ribosomal RNA, 470 nt
Filed under: uncultured bacterium
Lineage: Bacteria
Description: SSU rRNA
Rfam family: Bacterial small subunit ribosomal RNA
Source: RNAcentral
AGGACGAACGCUGGCGGCGUGCUUAACACAUGCAAGUCGAGCGGAAAGGCCCUUCGGGGUACUCGAGCGGCGAACGGGUGAGUAACACGUGAGCAACCUGCCCCUAGCUCUGGGAUAGCUCCGGGAAACCGGGAUUAAUACCAGAUACGACCACUUUAGACAUCUGCUGUGGUGGAAAGGAUUCCGGCUAGGGAUGGGCUCGCGGCCUAUCAGCUUGUUGGUGGGGUAACGGCCUACCAAGGCGACGACGGGUAGCCGGCCUGAGAGGGCGACCGGCCACACUGGGACUGAGACACGGCCCAGACUCCUACGGGAGGCAGCAGUGGGGAAUAUUGCGCAAUGGGCGAAAGCCUGACGCAGCGACGCCGCGUGGGGGAUGAAGGCCUUCGGGUUGUAACCCCUUUCAGCAGGGACGAAGCGAAGUGACGGUACCUGCAGAAGAAGCGCGGCUAACACGUGCCAGCAGCCGC